CCUACGGGUGGCACCAGUGGGGAAUAUUGCACAAUGGGCGCAAGCCUGAUGCAGCCAUGCCGCGUGUAUGAAGAAGGCCUUCGGGUUGUAAAGUACUUUCAGCGGGGAGGAAGGCGAUAAGGUUAAUAACCUUGUCGAUUGACGUUACCCGCAGAAGAAGCACCGGCUAACUCCGUGCCAGCAGCCGCGGUAAUACGGAGGGUGCAAGCGUUAAUCGGAAUUACUGGGCGUAAAGCGCACGCAGGCGGUCUGUUAAGUCGGAUGUGAAAUCCCCGGGCUCAACCUGGGAACUGCAUUCGAAACUGGCAGGCUAGAGUCUUGUAGAGGGGGGUAGAAUUCCAGGUGUAGCGGUGNANUGCGNANANAUCNGGAGGAAUACCGGUGGCGAAGGCGGCCCCCUGGACAAAGACUGACGCUCAGGUGCGAAAGCGUGGGGAGCAAACAGGAUUAGAUACCCGAGUAGUC
RNAcentral lists this ribosomal RNA (465 nucleotides) under uncultured bacterium. RNAcentral's name for it is "bacterial SSU rRNA". It matches the Rfam family "Bacterial small subunit ribosomal RNA", at positions 338 to 795 of the family's 1533-position model. The record is from RNAcentral.